This 245-nucleotide long non-coding RNA is filed under the name Elaeis guineensis (African oil palm). RNAcentral's name for it is "long non-coding RNA (EGUI_LNC077869)". Lineage: Eukaryota; Viridiplantae; Streptophyta; Magnoliopsida; Arecales; Arecaceae. The record is from RNAcentral.
ACUUUCACUGCUGACGAUCUCCUGUUUAUGUAGGAUUGUUGCUAUGCUUUGAUUGACUCAUGAUCAAUGAGAAAGUCUCUUUUUGAUCAACAUGUCACAAUUGGAGAUUGACGACUUUACUAGGGCAUAGGGGAAACAUACAUCCAAUGCUAUCACCAUAUUUUCUUCGCUGGCAAAACGCCCAAACUAAACCCAUCAGGCAGGCUCAGUCAGUCUUCUGCUCACUACGCCCCCUGCUACUCUUG